RNAcentral lists this ribosomal RNA (301 nucleotides) under uncultured bacterium. Its description in RNAcentral is "partial 16S ribosomal RNA". It matches the Rfam family "Bacterial small subunit ribosomal RNA", at positions 509 to 807 of the family's 1533-position model. The record is from RNAcentral.
CAGUCGCCACGGGAAUACGUAUGUCGCGAGCGUUAUCCGGAAUUAUUGGGCAUAAAGGGCAUCUAGGCGGCCGGAUAAGUCUGGGGUGAAAACUUGCGGCUCAACCGCAAGCCUGCCCUGGAAACUAUGCGGCUAGAGUACUGGAGAGGUGGACGGAACUGCACGAGUAGAGGUGAAAUUCGUAGAUAUGUGCAGGAAUGCCGAUGAUGAAGAUAGUUCACUGGACGGUAACUGACGCUGAAGUGCGAAAGCUAGGGGAGCAAACAGGAUUAGAUACCCCCGUAGUCCCUGUCUCUUAUAC